Xenia sp. Carnegie-2017 is the source of this 198-nucleotide long non-coding RNA. RefSeq lists it as uncharacterized. The transcript is spliced from 3 exons. The record is from RefSeq and is a predicted model, not a curated record. Lineage: Eukaryota; Metazoa; Cnidaria; Anthozoa; Malacalcyonacea; Xeniidae.
AUGAACUGUCCUGGACAUUGUUUGAUGUUCGAUCAUCGCCCUCGCUCCUGGCGUGAGUUACCAUUGCGUAUGGCUGAUUUUGGCGUGUUACAUCGAAGCAAGUUAUAUCAGCCAUUAAAAAAUUAGCUCAUUGAAAUCAACCAAUGAAAUCGAUCGGACCACCAAAUGAUCUUAAUAAACGUCAAUCACUUUACACAA